This is a long non-coding RNA of Rosa chinensis, 1595 nucleotides long. RefSeq lists it as uncharacterized. NCBI's taxonomy places the organism in Eukaryota, Viridiplantae, Streptophyta, Magnoliopsida, Rosales, Rosaceae. The record is from RefSeq and is a predicted model, not a curated record. The transcript has 4 exons.
CCGGGCGUUUUGUGAAUAUUUGUGACCGUUGGAUCGGUAAUAUAUCCAAGGGUCAUGGAUAUUCGAAACAAGCUAACCUAUUGAGAAGGUAUCCCGUUUCGCCGUCACUCUCAGUUCGUCACCGUGCCUCCAGCGUCGGGCCUCCCUGCGCGGCGCUCCUCCGCUUCGCUGUGCUACCACGACUCUCGCUCUCUCUCUGCGCUACUCUGCCUCAGUCUCCCUCUGUUCCACCGCGCCCCUCCACUCCACUGCUCCUCCAGUCCUCUUCAACCUCUCUCCUUGACCGUCGAGGCGUCGACAGCCCUUUCUAUACCCGACGGUGACGGACUAACGGUGUUGAAUAGCCUUGAAGUCUCCAACUUGGUUGCUUUUUUCCUCAAGCAGCAAAGCAGAAAGCCAGAAACUGUUGUUUACACUCUGGGUUCGAUUUCUGGGUUUUCACUUACAUUCUGGGUUUCACUCUUCAAGCUUGGUUAGUUGGUGAAAUCAAGCUUGUUUUGGAUGGUAACUGAACUGCAAACAGUUUGGUAAUUUGGUUGGGAAUUCAAAUUGGAUGGGAAUUGCAAUCAGAGUGUUCGAAUGAUAAUCUGAAUCCUGAAACAAGUCCUGUACAUGGGGAAGCUCCAGUGUUGCUUCAAUCUAGAGAAAAUGAAGAUAUGAUCGUAAAAGUUAUUUGGGAGUAGUGCUACUAAUUUUGUUGGAUUUGGAGCUGUGCAGGUCAACUUGGUGCGUGAUGCUAGUGUUCAAAAGGAAAUUUCUAACUCUGUUGGGAAACAAGCUCUUGUUCUUUCUAUUGUGGAGUGCAAGGGGCUCGAGUUCCAGGUGGUUACAAUGUCUAUCAUUUAGUUUGUUUACACAUAUCAUGCAAAAGCCGUUGAUGAUAUAUGGAUUCGUUGUUGUCCUAGGAUGUACGUUUGUUAAGUAUUUUGGGUCAUCACCCUUAAUAAAUGAAUGGAGGCUGAUAUAUAAUUACAUGAACAUGAUUUGCUAAUAAGACUUGGUGUGGUUUGGUGUGAGAUGCAGCAAGUGAAGUCAGAGAGAGGAAAUCAUUUUCUGAAUUUGGAGAAUUCUGUUUCAGUCCCAAGGAAGAUAACCUAGUAUGCAAUUGAUCGAAAAAAUUGAAUUGCCAAGGACCGGUUACGAGCAUAUUUAUUUUAUGUUCUAUUUAGGGUAUCGAGUUGACCAAUAGAUCGAGACCCAACCGAAGGCAGAAAUUGCUGAAAUUUCUACCACUACCAUAUAUUCGUAUGCAGACACCAUCCAAUGGUGAAAUUUUAAAAAUUCUAUUUCGUCCCCCAUUUUGCUCAUGGAGGGUAACAACUCUAAUAAACAAGUUAGACAACAUUACUAGGUAUAUAUGGAUUAUGUGCGAUUCAAAAAUUUUGAAAUAGAAAUUGAUAAAUCCAAAAAUUCCGAUAUGUUUAUAAAAUAGUGGUAGGUAUUGUAUCAAAAAAUUAGGCCAAUCCGUCGUGAAUAAGACACCCAAUAGAGCAGUCAACGCUUUGUACAAGCAAACUUCUCUAAAGGGAGCGGCACCAUGCGAGGACAAACAUCCCAGAAUUUUUACAUUCGUAAGUAGACCCCCUACCCAUGAG